CUGAAGAGUUAGGUAUUGUAGUCUUCACAGUCUGAGUUUGUUUGUACCUGUCCUUCUUGGAAAGGCUCUCCAGGUAUUUGAAGGUACUUGGGUGUUGUGAUCUACGUUUUUGGUCACUGCAGUCAUAUCUGCAUUAAGGGGCACCCCAAGCCCAGUAAUGCUGUGGGUCUUUUAGACUCAUAGGAGUACUGCCUUAGUGGUCUUGGAUAAGAUCCAGAGGAAUUCUCUGGAUGCCCAGGCAAAGACUCUCAUUCUCUUCCCUUACUUUGUCUCAAAUAGAUGGGGUCUCUCUUUCUGUGCUGAGCUGCCUGGAGCUAGGGGAAUGGUGACACAAGCACCCCUGUGGCCACCACUGCUGGAACUGCAUUGGUUUGGACCUGAAACCAGCAUAGCACUGGGUCUCACACAAGGCCCACUGUAACCACUACCUCACUCCUGCCUAUGUUUGCUCAAGGCCCUAGGGCUCUACAGUCAGCUUCAGAUCAGAUUUAUUUGGAGAAGACAAAAAACCCACAACCCAAAGGAUGGGAUUUUACAUCUCAAGACAUCUCCUAGGACACCAUUGAAGGCACUGGUUAUUUUACCAAGGCUUUGACUGGAAUGGCAUGGUUUCAGUUAUAAACAGACUGCUUUAAGGAAUCAAAGUUGACUUACAGAGCUGAUAAAAGGCCCCUAAGAAAAACUGGCCUCACCUCUUGUCUAUAUAGUCCCUAUAUAGGUUUCCUGACCUGUGUUUUUUGACUUGGACUCAAUAAAAUUGCUGCUACCUUUUUACUGAGGCCUUACAAGCUAAAGCUUAUUCCUUGAGACACAGAAGUUCCAGGGAUUGAAUCUUGAGACAAUCUGGGUGCCUAUGGAAUUAUCUCCCACCAGAAGAUUACUUCAAGGCAGCAGCUAAUUUACAACCUGGUCAAGCCUGAGAUGGUGUCAACCCAUUCUCAAGAUGGGACAAUAACUCAAGAUAAGUCAUCAAAACAAGCCACGUAGACCAGCACCACCUCUCACGCCCCCACCCACCACCCCCCACCCACCACAUAUCCUCCAUACCAAACUUCCCCUUCUUAAACCCUAGCAUUUUGCCCAAGAAUUUUGAAGCAGUUUCAUUAAGGCAGGAGCCUGAACCACUUCCCCACUGUUAGCUUUGGAAAAUGAAGUCAAUUUCCUU
RNAcentral lists this long non-coding RNA (1165 nucleotides) under Homo sapiens (human). RNAcentral describes it as "PREDICTED lncRNA (TCONS_00243407)". The record is from RNAcentral. Lineage: Eukaryota; Metazoa; Chordata; Mammalia; Primates; Hominidae.